RNAcentral lists this transfer RNA (62 nucleotides) under Camelus bactrianus (Bactrian camel). It matches the Rfam family "tRNA". From Rfam's summary of the family: Transfer RNA (tRNA) molecules are approximately 80 nucleotides in length. Their secondary structure includes four short double-helical elements and three loops (D, anti-codon, and T loops). The record is from Rfam by way of RNAcentral. Lineage: Eukaryota; Metazoa; Chordata; Mammalia; Artiodactyla; Camelidae. RNAcentral also lists the same sequence under 2 other names.
GUGGGUAUAGCUCAGUGGUAGAGCGCAUGCAUGAGGUCCUGGGUUCAAUCCUAGUACCUCCA